GCGUUCAUAGCUCAGUUGGUUAGAGCACCACCUUGACAUGGUGGGGGUCGUUGGUUCGAGUCCAAUUGAACGCACUA
RNAcentral lists this transfer RNA (77 nucleotides) under Salmonella enterica. RNAcentral's name for it is "tRNA-Val". It matches the Rfam family "tRNA". From Rfam's summary of the family: Transfer RNA (tRNA) molecules are approximately 80 nucleotides in length. Their secondary structure includes four short double-helical elements and three loops (D, anti-codon, and T loops). Lineage: Bacteria; Pseudomonadati; Pseudomonadota; Gammaproteobacteria; Enterobacterales; Enterobacteriaceae. The record is from RNAcentral.